Molecule: ribosomal RNA, 229 nt
Filed under: uncultured bacterium
Lineage: Bacteria
Description: partial 16S ribosomal RNA
Rfam family: Bacterial small subunit ribosomal RNA
Source: RNAcentral
UGCGCAGGUGGGCUUGUAAGUCAGUGGUGAAAUACUGCCGCUUAACGGUAGAACUGCCAUUGAUACUGCAAGUCUUGAGUAUGGUUGAGGUAGGCGGAAUGUGUUGUGUAGCGGUGAAAUGCAUAGAUAUGACACAGAACUCCAAUUGCGAAGGCAGCUUACUAAGCCAUUACUGACGCUGAGGCACGAAAGCGUGGGUAGCGAACAGGAUUAGAUACCCUGGUAGUCC